Molecule: unclassified non-coding RNA, 258 nt
Filed under: Hevea brasiliensis (rubber tree)
Lineage: Eukaryota; Viridiplantae; Streptophyta; Magnoliopsida; Malpighiales; Euphorbiaceae
Source: RNAcentral
GUUAAUGUAUGUAAUAUCCCAAAAUUUGUAUAAGAAAAAAAUUAGAAGAAAACCAAAAAAAUAAAAAUUAUUAACGAGGUGCUAAAGAAACAGUAAAGUCAGUAAGCGGAGCAAACUGCUCGGCCCAAGUCUUUGAUUCCAAAUACAGUUGCGAAACCCGACCCGCAACCCGACCCAUAUCCGGUCUGUUUUUCGGGUUAGUCUCCACACAUUCCAACCCGAUCCGAACUAAUUUCUCCGCCACCUCCACCGGGUACG